CUGCCACCAUGCCUGAGAAACCGCUGCAGAUCAUCAGUAGGGGUCUGCUGCCACUCCCAGAGGCCCACUGUGGUCACCAGCGGGGUGGCUGCUGCGGCGCCCAGCAGCCUAGCAGGGAUUGGUCUGCACUGGGGGCUCCGCCGGGGUGCAUGGUGGCCCACUGGGGGUCACAGUUGGGGUCCGCUGCCUCAUCCAGGAGCCUGCUGAUUCUCGCUGGCGGGGGUCCACCGCCACACCUGGGAACCCGCCGUGGCUCGCUGGCAUGGGUCCUCCAUGGCACCUGGGAACUUGCUGUGGCUCGCUGGCAUGGGUCCUCCAUGGCACCUGGCUGCCCUCUGGGGACUGGCUGGCUUGGGGGGUCCGCAGCAGUGCGUGGGACUUGCUGCGGGGUUGCCGGUAUGGUGGGUUCUGCCGCUGCUCCUGGAGAGCCUGGCAUGGCUCUUUGGUGCGGGUCUGCCACCAGGCCCGGGAAACCGCAGCUAUUCACCGGUGAGGUGAACACCCAGAGGCCUGCCGUGGCUCCUCCACUACACCCGGAGGCCUGCCACAGAUUGCUGACGAGGUUCCGCCGCCACACCCCAGAGCCCCCUGAUUCUCACUGGCGGGGGUCUGCUGCUGCACCCAGAGGCCUGCCACGUCUUUCCUAUGUGGGUCCACAGCAGCCCCACCCAGGAGAUUGCAACAGCUCACUGGCAAGGGUGCUCUGCAGCGCCCUGAGGCCCGCAGCGGCUUUCCAGCGGGGGUCUGCUGCCUCUCCUGGGAACUCGCAGCACUGGGAACUCCAGGGAGCAGCAGGCUUGGGGGGGUCCGCAGUGGAGCAUGGGACCCACGGCGGGGUUGCUGGUAUGAGAAUUUACGAAGAUGUCCUACUGCUCUGGGAGAGCUCCCUUGAUGCCGAACUCAGCAUUUUCUUUUUGCAUAAUGCCUACAGAUUCAGAGCCACUGUACUCCCAGUUGUAUAGCUUCUGUAUCCCUGGUUCACUGCUGCUGAAAUACUCGUAAAUCUCCUUUCUUCUAGUGGCUUUGUGCGGCAGCUGGGGCAUGACAAUAAGGUCCCUGAUCUAUAAUUCCAGACAGCCCCUGAGGGUGAGCAGAUCGACCAAUCCUCAUCCCCAACGUAAGCCUGGGGUACUUGAUGUCCCUGGGAGGUAGUUGUCUAAUGCUUUCCAUUUGUAAUCUGUAUGAAACUCUUCUUGAUGCUGGACUGUUGCUCACUUAGAGAAUUAUCCAGUGCAUAGUAUAUAAACACCCACUAGAAAUUGAAUGCAUGUAAAUAAAGCUUGCCUUAAGUCUAGCA
RNAcentral lists this long non-coding RNA (1297 nucleotides) under Anas platyrhynchos platyrhynchos (common mallard). RNAcentral describes it as "lncRNA (ENSAPLG00000022785.1)". Lineage: Eukaryota; Metazoa; Chordata; Aves; Anseriformes; Anatidae. The record is from RNAcentral.